GGCGAGUGAAGCGGGAAAAGCUCAAGGUUUUAAUCUCCUCGGCCCAGCGCCUUGGCGAGUUGUAACCUAUGGAUGCGUAUACUGUGACCGGAAGCAAAUUAAGUCCCUUGGAAUAGGGCGCCAGAGAGGGUGAUAGCCCCGUCUACUUGCUUCGCAGGCCGCUCUAUGUUGCGUAUUCUGAGAGUCGGGUUGUUUGGGAAUGCAGCCCCAAUUGGGAGGUAAACUUCUUCCAAAGCUAAAUAUUCAGGCAAGAGACCGAUAGCGAACAAGUACCGUGAGGGAAAGUUGAAAAGAACUCUGGAGAGAGAGUGAAAAGUACGUGAAACCAUUAGUAGGGAACCGCUUGCACGGUGCACUGAGCGGCAGUUUCUUCGGAGGCUGUUGCCGACCAACGCCAGUUCGACCUGCCGGAAAAAGCCAGAGUGAAGGUGGCAUCGCUCCUAGAGGGAUGUGUUAUAGCACUUUGGCAGAUACGGUGGGUUCAAGGACUGAGGACUGCGGUACCCUUCUUUCGAGAGGGCGUGUUUUUGGGAGGGGGCUUUUGAUUGGCUGAUUAGGGACAGCGUGCUGACCC
This 574-nucleotide ribosomal RNA is filed under the name Myconymphaea yatsukahoi. RNAcentral describes it as "eukaryotic LSU rRNA". It matches the Rfam family "Eukaryotic large subunit ribosomal RNA", at positions 88 to 650 of the family's 3401-position model. Lineage: Eukaryota; Fungi; Kickxellomycota; Kickxellomycetes; Kickxellales; Kickxellaceae. The record is from RNAcentral.